RNAcentral lists this ribosomal RNA (493 nucleotides) under uncultured bacterium. RNAcentral's name for it is "bacterial SSU rRNA". It matches the Rfam family "Bacterial small subunit ribosomal RNA", at positions 28 to 513 of the family's 1533-position model. The record is from RNAcentral.
GAUGAACGCUAGCGGCAGGCUUAAUACAUGCAAGUCGUGGGGCAGCGCAGUGUAGCAAUACAUGGGCGGCGACCGGCAAACGGGUGCGGAACACGUACACAACCUUCCGAGAAGUGGGGAAUAGCCCAGAGAAAUUUGGAUUAAUACCCCGUAACAUAACGAUGUGGCAUCACAUUGUUAUUAUAGCUUCGGCGCUUCUUGAUGGGUGUGCGGCUGAUUAGAUAGUUGGCGGGUAACGGCCCACCAAGUCUACGAUCAGUAGCUGAUGUGAGAGCAUGAUCAGCCACACGGGCACUGAGACACGGGCCCGACUCCUACGGGAGGCAGCAGUAAGGAAUAUUGGUCAAAUGGACGCAAGUCUGAACCAGCCAUGCCGCGUGAAGGAUUAAGGUCCUCUGGAUUGUAAACUUCUUUUAUCUGGGACGAAAAAAAGGCGAUUCUUCGUCACUUGACGGUACCAGAUGAAUAAGCACCGGCUAACUCCGUGCCAGCA